GGUGGGCUCAGUUGGUAGAGUGCUUGCCUUGCAUGCAUAAGGCCCUGGGUUCAAUCCCCAGCACUG
RNAcentral lists this transfer RNA (66 nucleotides) under Ictidomys tridecemlineatus (thirteen-lined ground squirrel). Its description in RNAcentral is "Spermophilus tridecemlineatus (thirteen-lined ground squirrel) tRNA". It matches the Rfam family "tRNA". From Rfam's summary of the family: Transfer RNA (tRNA) molecules are approximately 80 nucleotides in length. Their secondary structure includes four short double-helical elements and three loops (D, anti-codon, and T loops). The record is from Rfam by way of RNAcentral. Lineage: Eukaryota; Metazoa; Chordata; Mammalia; Rodentia; Sciuridae.